CUGUUGCAAGUCGCAAGCUUAAAGAGAAGCAAAAGAUACUGAAUCUACCUGCCCAUAAGCUGGUGAAUGAUGGGGUGACCAGAUGGAACAGCACAUUGGAGAUGCUGGAACGCUUCCUAGAGCAACAACCAGCAAUCUCUGCAGCUCUACUCUCACCUGAAGUGAGGAGAAAUGACAGUAAUCUCUGUAGUCUUACAGAGGCUGACAUAACUGAUGGAGAAGAUAUAGUGAAAGCUUUGAAGCCGCUGAAAGCAGCCACACUGGUUAUGUCUGAAGAAAAGUCCCCGACCCUUUCCAUCAUUGCACCUCUGCAUGCACAGCUGCUGGAGAAGAUGAUCAGUGUCUCUCACGACUCCUCACUGAUUAAAGACCUCAAGACUGCUGUAUACGACAACUUGAAGUCAAGAUAUGUGGCCCUAAAGGACAAGCUGUACAUUGCAUCAGCAUUAGAUCCUCGCUUUAAGGCCCUGCCAUUCUUGUCCAAAGAGACCUGUAACAACACAUUCUCUCAGUUGGUGUUGGAAGCAGCAGGUUUGGAGAACGUGGACACAGCUAUUCGACAGUCUGAUGGUGACACAUCUGAGGAAACUGUCCCUGACAUCUCUCUUGGUGGUGUUGAUGAAGUGGAUUAUGCCCCUCCAAUUAAGAGGUCAAAGGACUCUGCAUUAAUUUUUCUCCUUGGGCCAGCCUACUCAACAAAAACCACAGCACCACAGAAAACACCAACUCAGAAGGCAAAGGAAGAAGUGAAUCGAUACAGGGACG
Long non-coding RNA from Astatotilapia calliptera (eastern happy), 765 nucleotides. The record is from Ensembl. Lineage: Eukaryota; Metazoa; Chordata; Actinopteri; Cichliformes; Cichlidae.